This 146-nucleotide unclassified non-coding RNA is filed under the name soil metagenome. RNAcentral's name for it is "partial internal transcribed spacer 1". The record is from RNAcentral.
UAAUAAGUGUUUUAUGGCACUUUUUAAAAUCCAUAUCCACCUUGUGUGCAAUGUCAGUCGAUCUUCUUCAUGGAGAUCGACCAAACAUCAACCUUUAUCUUUUAACUCUUUGUCUGAAAAAUAUUAUGAAUAAACAAUUCAAAAUA